Lycium barbarum (goji berry) is the source of this 1560-nucleotide long non-coding RNA. RefSeq lists it as uncharacterized. The record is from RefSeq and is a predicted model, not a curated record. The transcript has 2 exons. NCBI's taxonomy places the organism in Eukaryota, Viridiplantae, Streptophyta, Magnoliopsida, Solanales, Solanaceae.
UCUCUCUCUUUUCACUCUGCAGAUCUGGCAGUGUGCAUUGUUGGUGGCGGCGGUGAUGGACUGAUUUUGAGAUGGCGGCGGAGAAGAUGACGUAGAGGUGGAGAGAUUAGGGUUUUGUUGGUGAUGGAAAGAUUAGGGUUUUUUGGUGGUGGUGGUGUCUCAGAUUUGGGUUUUUGGUGGUGGUGGUGUCUCAUAUUAGGAUUUUGGUGGUGUUGGAGAGAUUAAGAUUUUUUGGUGGUGGUAGUGUCUCAGAUCUGGCCAUGUGUAUUUGUUAAAAGCCAAAUACAAAUACAUUCAAAAAUCUACAUCUCACAAAUACACCGUUUUUUAAUGUAUUUGUCUUUGUAUUUUUGAGUGCAUUUUUUAGUAUAUUUUGUUAAUAGCCAAACACAUUAUUUUUUUGAAUGUAUUUGAAUUUUUUGGUCUUGUAUCUGAAUGUAUAUGUUGAAAUCCAUUCAAAUACACGAAAAUUUGAAUAUAUUUGGCUUCAUAGUUGUUGGAAUGUACAUAAUGUAUUUGAAAUACAUCAAAAAAAGCCAAUGAAAUACAUCAAAAAAAAAAAAUCAGUAAAAUACAUAAAAAAAAAAAAGACACGAAAAUACAUUAUGGCAAAAAAAAAAAAUCACUGAAAUACAUCAAAAAAAAAAAAAUCACUGAAAUACAUAAAAAAAAAAUCACUAAAAUACAUCAAAAAAAUAUAUAUUAAUAUCUAAUUUAAUAGCUCCACCAUUAAAGGCUAAAAUCAAGGAUCAUGUUUUUUUUUUUACCUUGUUCUCAUGUAUUUGUUGGCAACAAAUACACAGCGAAAACAUACACUAUUUUGCCAAAAUGUAGCUACAAAUGGUAAUAUUUAAAAGGGUAACUACAAAUGGUAGGAAGCUACAAUAAGAUAGUCAUUUGAGUAAGUUUGUCGACCAGCCCACCAGGCGAGAUCAGCCCAUCACCCUUUAACACCAAUCGGCCCACACUAUCCGAAUACCCGAUCCAGCCCACAUCCACUUUCUACCCGACCCAGCCCAUGUGUCUUUUAACAUCAGUUGAACCAAACCUAGCCGCACACUCACCUCCCCUCUUUCCCCUUUCGACCAAGAAUCAAUUUCCUUUAGCCAUGGCAGAACCCGCGCCCCCAUUUUCGUGCAAUACGCACAGCUCACCUCUUUCCCCUUUUGACAAAGAUCCAUUUUCGGUGCAACCUUCCCCUUUCCCACAUUUUUAGUUUCGAUUUAAUUCUGAAUUUCGAAUCCCAAACAUCCUCGAGUUGCUUCGACAACCUUGCUGCCACAUUAAUGAGACAAUGUUGCGUAUCGCUGCUGUUCUUUGUGACCAAUCGCCAUGACGGCUUAGGCAAACAGUGGACGUUUAAGGCCAAGCCUGCAGCUUGCCAUCAGCUGCUGUUAUGCCUCUGUUUUUUCCUCUAUGUUCGAACUGCCUUGGGUAUACAGAAGCCUUGGACCUUGGCUAAAUGUCCCAUUAAUUUGUUCCGUUCUUGUUUAUUUGUUUGCUCUAUUUGCUUGUGUGAUAUUUGUUGAACGUUAAGACUAUUAAUCAAUUUUAGUCAUA